AUUGAACGCUGGCGGCAGGCCUAACACAUGCAAGUCGAACGAGUGGCGGACGGGUGAGUAAUGUCUGGGAAACUGCCCGAUGGAGGGGGGUAACUACUGGAAACGGUAGCUAAUAACGCAUACCAUCGGAUGUGCCCAGAUGGGAUUAGCUAGUAGGUGGGGUAACGGCUCACCUAGGCGACGAUCCCUAGCUGGUCUGAGAGGAGGAACAGCAAAGCGGGAACUAGGACCCGGGCCAGACUCUUACGGGAGGCAGCAGUGGGGAAUAUUGCACAAGGGGCGCAAGCCUGAUGCAGCCAUGCCGCGUGUAUGAAGAGGGCCUUCGGGUUGUAAAGUACUUUCAGCGAGGAGGCGUUACUCGCAGAAGAAGCACCGGCUAACUCCGUGCCAGCAGCCGCGGUAAUAC
RNAcentral lists this ribosomal RNA (406 nucleotides) under uncultured bacterium. RNAcentral's name for it is "partial 16S ribosomal RNA". It matches the Rfam family "Bacterial small subunit ribosomal RNA", at positions 29 to 526 of the family's 1533-position model. The record is from RNAcentral.